CCUACGGGAGGCAGCAGUGGGGAAUAUUGCACACUGGCCGAAAGCCUGAUGCAGCAACGCCGCGUGAGCGAUGAAGGCCUUCGGGUCGUAAAGCUCUUUCCGCAAGGGAGAUAAUGACGGUACUUGAGGAGGAAGCCCCGGCUAACUACGUUCCAGAAGCCGCGGUAAUACGUAGGGGGCUAGCGUUAUCCGGAGUUACGGGGCGUAAAGGGUGCGUAGGUGGUUUUUUAAGUCAGAGGUGAAAGGCUACGGCUCAACCGUAGUAAGCCUUUGAAACUGGGGAACUUGAGUGCAGGAGAGGAGAGUGGAAUUCCUAGAGUAGCGGUGAAAUGCGUAGAUAUUAGGAGGAACACCAGUAGCGAAGGCGGCUUACUGGACUGUAACUGACACUGAGGCACGAAAGCGUGGGGAGCAAACAGGAUUAGAUACCCGAGUAGUC
Molecule: ribosomal RNA, 439 nt
Filed under: uncultured bacterium
Lineage: Bacteria
Description: partial 16S ribosomal RNA
Rfam family: Bacterial small subunit ribosomal RNA
Source: RNAcentral